This 1698-nucleotide ribosomal RNA is filed under the name Actinomycetota bacterium. RNAcentral describes it as "bacterial SSU rRNA". It matches the Rfam family "Bacterial small subunit ribosomal RNA". The record is from RNAcentral. Lineage: Bacteria; Bacillati; Actinomycetota.
GGGUCUGGUCCCGGCCCAGGACGAACGCUGGCGGCAUGCACUUGCCCCGACAAGUCGAGCGAGCUGUCCCUGGUUACCUGGAGGGUCACUGUUCCCUUAUAGAAUUACAUGGCGAACUCGGGUUCCGCGUGGAUGCGAGAAUCCCGAAAGGAUUUUCGCUGAAGUCACGGACAGGGUUCAUCGUUUAUGAGACUGCGGGUCAGUCACUCCAGGUAAACUAAGGCGGCUAAGCGGCGAACGGCGGAGUAACGCGUAGGUAACCUGCCUCAAAGACCGGAAUACCCUCUCCCGAGAGGCCGCGAGGUCACUUGGGAGGGGCUAAUGCCGGAUAAGCUCACGCUCCAUUGAUGGGGCGUGAGAAAAAGGUAGCCCUUAAUCGAGGCUUCCGCUUUGAGAUGGGCCUGCGUCCUAUCAGGUAGUUGGUAGGGUAACGGCCUACCAAGGCGACGACGGGUAGCUGGUCUGAGAGGAUGGUCAGCCCGACCGGAACUGAGACAAGGUCCGGGCCCGGAAGGGCUAGCGGGGUGGAAUCUGUCGCAAUGCGCGCAAGCGUGACGAUGCAAUGCCGUGUGGAGGAAGAAGGCGGGUGAAAACACCCGUUGUAAACUCCCGUCGGACGGGGAGUAAGCCCAGGGGGUGAAAAGCCCCGGCUGGGUGAAAUUACCCGUCAUCGAAAGCGCCGACGAACUACGUGCCAGCAGUCGCGGUGAUACGUGGGGCGCGAGCGUUGUCCGGAAUUACUGGGCGUAAAAGGUUACGUAGGCGGCCGGAUGUAUCGGCUGUGAAAGCCUCUCGGUAAACGGGAGGAGGUCGGCCGAGAUUAUCCGGCUAGAGCGCAGGGGAAGGAAGUGGAACUCCCGGAGGAGCGGUAGAAUGCGGUGAUACCGGGAAGAACCCCAAAGGCGAAGGCAGCUUCCUAUACUGUUGCUGACGCUGAGGUACGAAAGCCAGGGGAGAGAAGCGGUGUGGCACCCGCGUAUUCCUGGCCGUAAAAGUUGGGCACUAGCCCUGAGCCCUCACGAAGGUUCGGGGCGCAGCUAACGCAUUAAGUGCCCCGCCUGGGGAGUACGGCCGCAAGGCUGAAAACCAAGGGACUUGUGGAAAUCUGCACAAUCGGCGGCGAGUGUGGUUUAAUGCGAGUUCGAGCGCAGAACCUCACCAAGGCUGCCUGCAGGAGUAAGCCAGUGGAAACGCUGGCCCUCCUCCAGGGGACGUUCCUUGCAAAUUACAAAUACUCGCGAGAAUUUGUAAUUUGCAAUGAACGUCCCCAGACUGGACCCCUGUGGGUAGGCGUGUAUGGUCACCGUUAGCCCGUGCCGUGAGGUGUGCGGUUAGCUCCGCGUAACGGGCGCAACCCCUUACCCCAUGUUGCCAUCGAACAGCGCCGGGCACUCAUGGGGAACAGCCCGCGAACGAAGUGGGAGGAAGGUGGGGACGACGGCGGAUCGGUAUGCGCCGGAUGCCUUGGGCUACACACACGCGACAGUGGCCGGUACAAAGGGGGCCGAACCCGCGAGGGAGAGGAAAUCCCAAAAAGCCGGUCGUGGUUCGGAUCGCAGUCUGCAACCCGACUGCGUGAAGCUGAAGCCGAUAGUAAUCGCGGAUCAGCAUGCCGCGGUGAAUACGUUCUCAGGUUUCCUUCAUAUAGCUGGCCGCGUCCGCCAAAGGCGGAUCGGCUGAAGCCGUCAACCCAACCCU